AGCCAGACUCCUACGGGAGGCAGCAGUGGGGAGUAUUGCACAAUGGGGGAAACCCUGAUGCAGCGACGCCGCGUGAGCGAUGAAGUAUUUCGGUAUGUAAAGCUCUAUCAGCAGGGAAGAAAAUGACGGUACCUGACUAAGAAGCCCUGGCUAACUACGUGCCAGCAGCCGCGGUAAUACGUAGGUGGCAAGCGUUGUCCGGAAUUACUGGGUGUAAAGGGCGUGUAGGCGGGAAAGCAAGUCAGAUGCGAAAACCAUGGGCUCAACCUGUGGCCUGCAUUUGAAACUGUUUUUCUUGAGUACUGGAGAGGCAGACGGAAUUCCUAGUGUAGCGGUGAAAUGCGUAGAUAUUAGGAGGAACACCAGUGGCGAAGGCGGUCUGCUGGACAGCAACUGACGCUGAGGCGCGAAAGCGUGGGGAGCAAACAGGAUUAGAUACCCGUGUACA
RNAcentral lists this ribosomal RNA (448 nucleotides) under uncultured bacterium. RNAcentral describes it as "bacterial SSU rRNA". It matches the Rfam family "Bacterial small subunit ribosomal RNA", at positions 329 to 794 of the family's 1533-position model. The record is from RNAcentral.